Molecule: non-coding RNA, 522 nt
Organism: Sus scrofa (pig)
Lineage: Eukaryota; Metazoa; Chordata; Mammalia; Artiodactyla; Suidae
Source: RefSeq, a predicted model, not a curated record
AUUCCACAGAGAUUUCAUUAAAGAAGAGACAGCUCAGAGAAUGGGGCUGCUGAUGGGGUCUCUGGAGCAUGAUCCUGGAGAAGAAAAAGCAGGUCACUGGUCAACUCGGACUGGAGGUUUUCUGUAAGAAAUUGGAUAAGGACUGGGCUGCACAGAUUCAGGAGGAAACACCAUAUGAGGACACAGUGAGAAGGCAACCGUCUGCAAACCAGGAAGAGAAUCUCACCAGACACCAACCUUGCCAACACCUUAAUCUUGGGCUUCCAGUGUCUGGAACUGUACAAUAAUUUUCUUCUCUUUAAUCCACCUGGCUGACCAUCACGUUUUUGUUCACGUUCUGAAGCUACCUUACGUUUGCCCUUGCCAAUGAAUUGCCAGCAAAUAAAAACCAGGUGAAACUUAUACAACUGUUUCUUGAUCAAAUUAACAAAGAUUUGGAAAAAUGGAUUAACAAUUUCAUAAUGUUCAAAAAAUACUGUCAUAUGUAGGAUAUCAAAUAAUACCGAGACUUACUAGUUGACA